RNAcentral lists this ribosomal RNA (255 nucleotides) under uncultured bacterium. Its description in RNAcentral is "partial 16S ribosomal RNA". It matches the Rfam family "Bacterial small subunit ribosomal RNA", at positions 524 to 776 of the family's 1533-position model. The record is from RNAcentral.
UACAGAGGGUGCAAGCGUUGUUCGGAAUUAUUGGGCGUAAAGGGCGCGUAGGCGGCGCGGAUAGUCGGCGGUGAAAGCCCGGAGCUCAACUCCGGGUCGGCCGUCGAUACUUCCGGGCUUGAGCACUGUAGAGGCAGAUGGAAUUCCGGGUGGAGCGGUGAAAUGCGUAGAGAUCCGGAGGAACACCGACGGCGUAGGCAGCGCCCCUGGACGACACCUGACGCUGGAGGCACGAAAGCUGGGGGAGCGAACAGG